Rhea pennata is the source of this 3628-nucleotide long non-coding RNA. RefSeq lists it as uncharacterized. The transcript has 2 exons. The record is from RefSeq and is a predicted model, not a curated record. NCBI's taxonomy places the organism in Eukaryota, Metazoa, Chordata, Aves, Rheiformes, Rheidae.
UUUGGCACUCCUACUCAGCCCAAAAGCAUCUCUGCAAACCUGUCACAUGCCUUUCCCUGGAAAAAGGGCAAAUUCCCUGAAUGGCCUGAAGCUAAUAAAGAUCAGUUGGAAGCCAACCUUCCUGCCACAGGAUAUAGACAGAUAGUGCCCGAGAAGUGAACUAAUCUUCCUCACUGACAUCAAGUGAUCAAGUCCUGCCAAGUGCUGAACUUCUUUGGAAAAGCUCAGGAUACAGACAGUGUCCAGCACAACUCAGGGCUUUCUAAGGCUGGGACUACAGCUGUAUGCUGAAAGCUGUGAGGAAGAAUUUCUUCCGCCGCUGAAUACUGAAACUAGAUGCUUUACUAACAAGGGCUGUGACACCUCCAGACGUGAGGCCGGCUGGCGCCCGAGUCCAUCCGUGCUCCCAGCCACCACAGGGGUGAACCAACGGCAAGAGGAGCAGGGACUCCGGCCGGGAGCUCACCGCCGCAUCUCCUCCCGCCAACCAGCGCCACCGAAACGCGGGUGCAACUAGAAGAUGGAGCGAGUAUUUGUCAAAGCCAGGCGGGUGAGCGGCCGAACGGAUCCAUCGCCACGGCAGGGCACGUGCCGAGCGGCCGUGGGCAGGCCAGGUCCCCUCACGGCGGGCAGCCAAAGCGUCCGCGGCGAGGGCUGUCGGGAAAGGCCGGGGCCGGGCUGGCUGAGCCGCCGGGGCCGGCAGAGCAGGCCCUCGAGCCAGGCGCGGGAACAAGCCACGUCCUCCCCUGCCCGGCGGAGGCAAACCUGCCAAUUCGGGGCACGGCGGGUCUCCUGAGAGCGCACGCAACGCAAGCACGGAGCCCCGAAGCCAGGAAAACCGGAGUCGCACCUUAGCUCUGACAGACUCCGCACGUAGCCUUCAGCAAGUUACUAUACUCCCUACAUCUUACGUUCACCAGGUGUAUUAAAAAAGGAGCACGAACACUUACAGCUUACUUAGCAACCCCAUUCAGGGGCAAUAAAAUGAACUCUAAAAAGCACGGGAUUUCUCUUGCAAUUCCCAGGAUGUUACCUGGGUCAAACCCAGCUUUGCUCACUGAUGGUUGCUCCUCCGAGCAAGGUAAGCAGCACAGGAGAACUGGGUCAUGGGAAGAGCAUCCAGCGGUGACCGGCAGCCUCCCCGCACUGCUGCGCAGGGGGAAGAAGGCUGCCGUGAAAGGGAGCUGGGUGAGGUUGCAAGUCAUCAGCUCUCAUAAAGAAGGCAGAAAUUCAAACCAGAGUCUUUUGGCAUGAUUUACAUGGCACAUAAAACAGAGAAGCGAUCACAGAAAUCAUUCAGCAAAUUAUGGGGAUUAGUUUUAUGAACACUGUUUUCAAAAGUGAGUACGGAGGACGUAGCCCUUUUAACUAAUCUGAUGGCAUGUUCUUGCCUUAUGGAAAUCUCUUCCUGCCAACAGCUCUGCAAGUUGAACACCCUCUGCUGUCCCGUGCAAUUCAAUGGGAAAAAAUGCUAUUUGGCAACUUCACAGUCAAGACGUGCAGCCUGUCUUACAGUGACAUGAACAGUUAGAGUUGGUUUGCAAUUGUAUCAGCUCUGUGCUACCAACAGCUCUGGAGCUCUUGUUAACAGAUCCUUUCUUCAUUCUCAAAAGUGCAGGAUAACAUCUGGGUCUUUUGGGAAGCACUCUUACAAUAAAGAAGCACUUUGUGUAAUUCCUCUUUCCUCGCCAAGCCGCAUCUGUCUGCUCUCCCUGCCCUUCUCCACUCCACCCCUCGCUCCUUGGGGCUGGGGGGACACACACGAGCAAGAGCUAGCUGUCUCCACUGAGUCAUCAGUAGGUGGCACUGCCUGCUUUUCUCUCUUCCACCCACACGCCCGUCCAGUACUGUCAUCCUAAAUUCAACCAACAAAUUCAAAAGUAGCCUAAGUGUUUUACAAGCCCCGUCUCCUUGAAGAUAAUGUCAGUUAGCGAACCGGAGUGGCUACAACAAAGGCACGGCUCCAUUUGUGCUCGCUGGUCAGCGAACGUGAAUAUUUCACAAGACAAACGAGGUGGAGAGCGAGAGGUGGGAGCUCCUCCAGCCACCCCACCAGGAUCUGGCAGACUCAUCUUCCCAGGGCCCAAAGCUCGUCUGAUUCUAAUGCCAGUUACACAGAUGGCGUCAGCCUAGUCUUGCACUGUGCGAGGUGGCCUUGUUCACCUGUGUUCAACCCAAGGGCAGCAAGACUGAGCUAUUUAAAAUAUCUGUUAGAAAAUAUUCUCUGCCGAAAAAGUCCUUCACACUUAAAACAAUCCCCUACUGACAACCGCAUAUGGAGAACAUAGCAAGUCCCCAGCCUGCCUCUUGGAAAGUGGAUUUGAAGACCUUCCUUUUGAAGGUACACUCUAAAAUAACCAUAAACAUCUGCCGCCCCAUCGAAAACUCUGAAUGACAAUUUCCCCAUGUCGUCACCACCACCUUGCAUCAAUGGUCAGGCCAUUCUGCUCAGGCCAGAAAUUCCCAAAGUUGUAAUGAUUAAACUGGGGGCCUGGUUUGCUGCUCAGCAUCCAGCGCCACUGCCACCACAAAGGGUGUGCGUUCCCUCAGCCUCAGCCCCAGAGGCAUUCCCACCCACUGCAGCAAGGAAGAGCGCCCCGAGUGACUGUUUCCACCUCAUCUCACCUUCCCUCACCUUUUGUGAAGACAGCAAUGGACCACUGCAAGAAGGACAAUGACUCCAAGAGUCCAUACACUUUCUCUGCCAAUGCCUCUGCACUGGAAUUUAAUGGCAAACUGGUUUUCUCAACACUUGGAAAGACUGUCUACUUCCACAUGGAAUAAGUAAACUGUAUCCAAAGCUUUACUAUUUUAACUCUCACGUUAAAAAUAAAAUUGUGCCCCUUUCAACUGGCUAUGCCUAUGCAUAGGGAAAGCAUCAUGGCAGAGUGUUUGUUAAUUUUCUUCAUUAUCAAAUGUAGAACAAAAAUCAUAUUUAAAAACACGUUAGCUGCCUGUAAUAACCAAUAGCAUCACCAACCAGCACAUCUUAAGUACUACUGAACUUGUCAACAGCAAGUGACUUAGUAUUUGUAUAUAAUUGUAUUUUAGCCAAUUAAUUUUCUAACUGAUACUCACACUGUAAUCAUGACCAUUUAAAAUAUAUCAGUAAUAAAUCCACUAGUGCUAACUGAAUCAAUUCAUAUAAAAACUGCUUUGACAUCGUAAGUUAGAUGGUGACUUUUCCAGUGUUGAUGCUAUUUCAGUAUUUCAUCGGUUUGCUUUAACUUUAAACUAAAACUAAGUAAGCCAAAUGAAACGGCCUUGUCUUUGCAGUCAGCAAACUACUGGUUAUGUUACCAGCUGUUGUCUUCCACCACCUUCAGGAACAGCUCAACUUUCGGUUGAGCUUUUGUGUUUGUGCCUAAAAAAGAGUGGUAUCUCCUUCAUAAAUGAAUCAUUGUGAACUGCUGCUGGAAGUGCUCAUGGAGAUCUGCCACAGAAAUAAGCUUGCACUUUUCCAAAUGUCUGCCAGUCUCAAACCUUCCUUGCCUUCCCACCAGCUUCAGGAGUGCUAAGGAAGGUCGAACUCCUCCAGAGAACUGCUUAUGCCCCAGAGUGGCAGCACCCUUAACGCUGACAUGCUAAGGCUGUAAAUAUAUUAUUGCAGUAAAUCAAACAUCGCGGA